CUUCACCGACCCGAGCCAGAGCGGCUGUUCCUCGUCCCGUCCGCGCCCGUACGUGGCCAUCAGUGCCUGGGCCUC
Molecule: antisense RNA, 75 nt
Filed under: Streptomyces sp. MBRL 601
Lineage: Bacteria; Bacillati; Actinomycetota; Actinomycetes; Kitasatosporales; Streptomycetaceae
Description: ASpks sRNA
Rfam family: ASpks TB sRNA
Source: RNAcentral